GAUGAACGCUGGCGGCGUGCCUAAUACAUGCAAGUCGAGCGAACGGACGAGAAGCUUGCUUCUCUGAUGUUAGCGGCGGACGGGUGAGUAACACGUGGAUAACCUACCUAUAAGACUGGGAUAACUUCGGGAAUCCGGAGCUAAUACCGGAUAAUAUUUUGAACCGCAUGGUUCAAAAGUGAAAGACGGUCUUGCUGUCACUUAUAGAUGGAUCCGCGCUGCAUUAGCUAGUUGGUAAGGUAACGGCUUACCAAGGCAACGAUGCAUAGCCGACCUGAGAGGGUGAUCGGCCACACUGGAACUGAGACACGGUCCAGACUCCUACGGGAGGCAGCAGUAGGGAAUCUUCCGCAAUGGGCGAAAGCCUGACGGAGCAACGCCGCGUGAGUGACGAAGGUCUUCGGAUCGUAAAACUCUGUUAUUAGGGAAGAACAUAUGUGUAAGUAACUGUGCACAUCUUGACGGUACCUAAUCAGAAAGCCACGGCUAACUACGUG
This 497-nucleotide ribosomal RNA is filed under the name uncultured bacterium. RNAcentral describes it as "partial 16S ribosomal RNA". It matches the Rfam family "Bacterial small subunit ribosomal RNA", at positions 28 to 507 of the family's 1533-position model. The record is from RNAcentral.